AGUGAGGGUAGAGGUGCAAAUAUCAUUAGUAUGUUAGCGGAGGAGAAUGAGAUCCGUGGAAACUAACAAAAAGGGGUGUUUGCCGAAGCUUAUGAAAUCUCAUCAAACCAUAAGCUGGGACUGUUCUGAACAAGGGCAGUACUGUCAUAUAGCAUACAAGCUAUAUGGAGGGCUAUCUCACAG
RNAcentral lists this non-coding RNA (183 nucleotides) under Halalkalibacter akibai. Its description in RNAcentral is "Bacillus akibai Lysine sequence". It matches the Rfam family "Lysine riboswitch aptamer". Rfam says of the family: Riboswitches are metabolite binding domains within certain messenger RNAs that serve as precision sensors for their corresponding targets. Allosteric rearrangement of mRNA structure is mediated by ligand binding, and this results in modulation of gene expression. The record is from RNAcentral. RNAcentral also lists the same sequence under 1 other name. Lineage: Bacteria; Bacillati; Bacillota; Bacilli; Caryophanales; Bacillaceae.